AACGAACGCUGGCGGCAUGCCUAACACAUGCAAGUCGAACGAGACCUUCGGGUCUAGUGGCGCACGGGUGCGUAACGCGUGGGAACCUGCCCUUAGGUUCGGAAUAACUCCCCGAAAGGGGUGCUAAUACCGGAUAAUGUCUUCGGACCAAAGAUUUAUCGCCUUUGGAUGAGCCCGCGUUGGAUUAGCUAGUUGGUAGGGUAAAAGCCUACCAAGGCGACGAUCCAUAGCUGGUCUGAGAGGAUGAUCAGCCACACUGGGACUGAGACACGGCCCAGACUCCUACGGGAGGCAGCAGUGGGGAAUAUUGGAAAAUGGGCGAAAGCAUGAUCCAGCAAUGCUGCGUGAGUGAUGAAGGCCUUAGGGUUGUAAAGCUCUUUUACCCGGGAUGAUAAUGACAGUACCGGGAGAAUAAGCUCCGGCUAACUCCGUG
This 433-nucleotide ribosomal RNA is filed under the name uncultured bacterium. Its description in RNAcentral is "partial 16S ribosomal RNA". It matches the Rfam family "Bacterial small subunit ribosomal RNA", at positions 29 to 507 of the family's 1533-position model. The record is from RNAcentral.